UUCUCUCUUUCUUCUUUCUUUAUUCACAGCAGCUCAAAAAUUUUUAAAAGAAAGUUCAAAAUUACAGAUUUUAUUUCUACGAAUUAAAUCAGUACUCCCUUCUUCCUCACCUAAUUAGGUCGUCUUCUUCAUCUUCUUCAGAAUAAACAGAAUGAAUCAAAAAUUAAGAGAUAAACUUGAAUGAACCAAUAAAAUGAAUAAAAAGCAGAAUAAACCAGAGGCGGAGCUAGAAAAAAAAUUUAUGGGGGUCAAUUUUAAUUUAUAAUGUAUUUUGAACAAAUUUUAUGGGGGUCAUUUAGUUAAAUUAUUAAUAUUAUAUCUAUUUUUUACAUAAAAAAAAAAAUAUUUAUAAAAAAAUUUAAAUUUUACCUGGGUCAAUUGCCCCUCCUCCCAGCAUGCUCCCUCCGCCACUGGAAUAAACACAAUGAAUCACGAGUGAAGUCUUGAACCAGAAUGAACCAAUACAAAGACAAAGAACAAACCAAUAGAUAAGCCGCGACUAGUCGAACAAAAAAUAGUAUAAACCCAUAUUGAAUGAGUAGAUUACACCCUAGAACCAGUAGCAUAAUCAAAGGAAUUAAGAGAUAACUAGUAAAACCAGCCAAACAAACAUUUAAAAUAAAAAAGAUGAAGAAGACGAUGGCCCAAUAGGGUGGAGAAGAAG
RNAcentral lists this long non-coding RNA (664 nucleotides) under Eutrema salsugineum. Its description in RNAcentral is "long non-coding RNA (ESAL_LNC000401)". Lineage: Eukaryota; Viridiplantae; Streptophyta; Magnoliopsida; Brassicales; Brassicaceae. The record is from RNAcentral.